UACGUAGGGGGCAAGCGUUGUCCGGAGUUACUGGGCGUAAAGCGCACGUAGGCGGCUUCUUAAGUCGGUGGUGAAAUCCUGGAGCUCAACUCCAGAACUGCCUUCGAUACUGGGAAGCUCGAGUCCGGGAGAGGUGAGUGGAACUGCGAGUGUAGAGGUGAAAUUCGUAGAUAUUCGCAAGAACACCAGUGGCGAAGGCGGCUCACUGGCCCGGUACUGACGCUGAGGUGCGAAAGCGUGGGGAGCAAACAGG
Molecule: ribosomal RNA, 253 nt
Filed under: uncultured bacterium
Lineage: Bacteria
Description: partial 16S ribosomal RNA
Rfam family: Bacterial small subunit ribosomal RNA
Source: RNAcentral